Molecule: long non-coding RNA, 1681 nt
Filed under: Callithrix jacchus (white-tufted-ear marmoset)
Lineage: Eukaryota; Metazoa; Chordata; Mammalia; Primates; Cebidae
Description: lncRNA (ENSCJAG00000077323.1)
Source: RNAcentral
UUAAUUACCUAUCUUAGGAUGCUUAAUUAGAUGGAAAACCUCCAAGUUCGAGAACAAGGUCAUAUUAAUCUCUGCCUCCAAGAGCCAAGGGAAGUGCCUGGAUCAUACACGAAGUCCCUCACUAGAUGCUGGCACCAUGUUCUUGGACUUUCCAGCCUUCAGAACUGUGAGCCAAAUAUAUUUCUGUUCAUUACAGAUUAUAUAUAUAGUCUGUAUUAUUCUGUUAUUGCACCAUAAGGUAGACUAAGACACUUUUAAUAUAAAUUUCUUGUCAUUUAUUUUUUAAAUUAUCUUUAGAUGCAGGAAUCUGGGUUAUGAAGUCGUGAAAAAUGGAAGAAGAAAAAACUGAGUCCAGUCAUACACCACAUAACAAUAUCGCAGUCAAUAAUGGACUGCAGAUGAGAUGGCGGUCCCAUAAGAUUAUAAUGAAACUGAAAAAUUCUUGUUGCCUGAUGAUAUCAUAGCCAUCAAAACUUCCUAGUGCAACACAUUAGUCAUGUGUUUGUGGUGAUGCUGAUGUAAACAAACCAGCUGUGCUGUGCUACCAGUUGUACAGAAGGAUAGCACAUACAAUUUUGUACAGUACAUAAUACUUGAUAAUAAAUGACUAUGUUACUGGUUUAUGUACUUAUCAUUCUGUACUUUUUAUCAUUAUUUUAGAGUAUUGAACUUCUACUUACAAAAAAAUGUUAACGUGUAAAAAACCUCUGGCAUGUUCAUCAGGAGGUAUUGCAGAAGAAGGCAGUAAUAGAAGGGAUAACAGUUCCAUGUGGGGUAUUGCCCCUGAAAGCCUUCCCAGUGGGACAAGAUGAGGUGGAAGAUAGUGAUAUUGAUUAUUCUGACCCUGUGUAGGCCUAGGGCAAUGUAUGUGUUUGCAGCUUAGUUUUUAACAAGAAGUUUAAAAAUUAAAACUUUAAAUAGAUAAAAGCUUAUAGAAUAAGGAUAUAAAUGAUAAAAUAUUCUUGUAUAGCUGUACAAUGUUUUUGUGUUUUAAUCUGUUAUUACAAAACAGUCAAAAAGUUUAAAACAACUAAAAAGUUUAUAAAGUAAAAAUGUUAUAGUAAUAUGAAGUCAAUUCAUUAAGAAAGUUUUAAAAAUUGGUGUAGCCUAAGGCGCUUUGUUCAUAGUCUACAGUAGUGUAUAGUAAUGUCCUGGGCCUUCAUAUUUAUUUAACAGUCACUCAUGGACUCACCCAGAUCAACUUCCAGUUCUGCAAGCUCCAUUCUUAGUAAGUGCCCUAUACAGAUGUGCUGUUUGCUUUUACUUUUAGUCUUUCAUACCAUAUAUUUGCUGUCUCUUUUCUAUGUUUAAAUACCAAAUACCAGUGUGUCACAAUUGCUUUCAGUGUUUGGUACAGUAAUUGUGCUAUAUAGGUUUAUUGCCUAGGAGCAACAGGCUACCCCAUAGAGCCUAGGUGUAUUGUAGGCCAUACCAUCCAGGUUGGUGUAAGUACACUCUAUGAUGCUCACACAAUGAUGACAUCACCUAACGAUGCAUUUCUCCAAUUGUAUCCCAUUAUUAAGGGAUGCAUGACUCUAUUUUAGUGAUGGCUGUACAAAUCUCAAAGAAAAGUGGAGAAGACUAGGGCCAAGAUGGAGGGGCCAAGAAGUUACAAUUUGAGGAUGCUUUUUCUCAUUCAUUCAUUUAGUCAGUAAUUUUUUAUUCAGCAUCUACUGUGUCU